AGACCACCAUGGGCCCGCGAAGGUGAACCUUUGGCAAGAUCCGUUGAACCCGGGUAACUGGAAGGAAGAGCAUGUGAGUUUUCCUCGUUUAGCUCCUGAGUUUGAUAUCAUUAUACUAUUCUACUUGCCUCUCUACUUUGCCUGCAGCAAGUGAAGGGGUUGUUUCUGUUUAGUGUUGUUUUGUGAUCUAGUUGGCUCGAAUGUGAAUAUUAUUUUUGAUGGCAUGAUUCCAGUUAGAUAGAUAUAUAUCCAGUUUAAUAUACGCUAUUUUACAAGAUUACAGUUAUGUGGUCUAGGAAUGAAAUUCGGCAUCCCUACUUUGGGAAGAAGUGGGAUUGAAAUGAGGGUUGUUUUACCAUUUACUUCAAAAUGAGUAAUUUCGUGGUGUGUACAUACAUAUGCAUCGUGCUUUGGAGGAAUGGUACAAAAUUUGCCCGAUUAAAGUGCAAUAUUUAUUAGGGGGAAUGAUUAUAUAUGCUGGUAUGAAUCUUAGCCAGUAACUACAGUUAUGCAUGACUUGUAAGAAUAUUUUUUUCCCUUCUACUCAUGUUUACUGUCUUAGGGAAAUGCUAAUAUGUAUUUUAUUGUUUGAGUAUGCUACUUGAAAUGAACUAAUUGUUUGUUGCAUAUGAACUAUUCAAUUUCGGGUAAUGUUCAUCAGAUAUGUUUUCAAAUUUUGAAAUGUUCCUUUUCUUAUGUUAUCAACCUCGUUAAUUGUAUGUGCAGUUUCUUCUAAAUGACUGCUAACUAACAUAGUUUAGGGCUACUUACCUUAAUAUUGUGCUGGAAUCAUAUUGUUUUCAUAAAAAAAGAUGUUUUAGCUCGAACUAUUAAUACAAGAUUGAUUGAUUGACUGCCUAUCUGUAAUGUUGGUUUUGACUGGCUUGUUUUAGGUCAUGUUUUUAGUGAAAAUGCUUUACUUUGUGCAGUUUGUCCUAGCCAGCUUAGCUAUGUGGGGUGGUGUAAUUUAUGGUGUCUCCAGGCUUUUUAGUGGGAAGAAGAAAGACACAACUACUGAGGUAUUCUUAAUUUAUACUUAUCUUUCCUACCUUAAGUAAUGCUCUUCUGCUCAUAGUUCCGAUAAUCCACGAAAUAUUUAACUAAUAUCAGUUAAUCAGGGUAUUUAGAAGCAUAAGGAAUGAUAUGCGUUUUCCUUUUCUUUUGAAGUGCUAUCUAUUGUAUACAUGCUAUAUUAUUUUAGUGUAGUGUCAAGAUAUUGAACUACCUAUUUGUCAUCAGCAUAUGCUUUUUACCAAUAAAUUACUAUCAAAGGUAGUGCUUCUAUGUAUAUAAUCACACAAUGACAAAAUUAGACAAGAAUCAAAGAUUGUAAGGAUAAAUUGUCUCUAUGUAUCUAAUCACGCCAGGACAAAGUACAAGGAUAAAUUGUCUGUUUGGAUGGAUGGUCAUGUUAAAUGGAUAUACAAUCAUGUUCCACUUUCAUGAUCUGGGUAACAUAUACAUGCACAUAUUACUGGAAAAUUAAGCAAUACUUUUUCCAAAUAAAUUUUGAAUCAUAUCUGGCCGAAGCCCUUCAGUAGGGUUUCUAUGUGAUCAGAUUCUCCACUCACCACAAAUUAUAGAGCUAAUAUUUUUAUUUCCAGUAAAUUAUCUAUAUCUUGGAGAACUCAGUACUUCUGUUUACAUGGUGGAAUUUUGUUUUUCAUGUUCGAUAUGGUGCAUUUGUUGCUGCUACCAUCCUUGCACACAUUUGAAUGGGUAGGUAGUGAUUUUUUUGCAAAUGUGUGGGAUGCAUUUCUCUUGAUCCAUUUAGUCCUUAGCUUUGCUUUCACGUGUGCAUGUCUUACUAUUUAGUCGAGAAAUAUCAUAUUCUUGUUACCAUGAUACUACUACAGUGUCUUUGUCUGCCUGACUGCUACCUGGAUGGUUUUUUAUCUGCUGCUGUAGUUGCAAAUUUUAUUGUCAUGUCAACAUGUAAACUGUUAAGCUCGUAUAUUUUUGUCAGCACAAAACUUACUACAUCCAAUUGUAAUAAUCUUUUGCAGGCGGUGCCAUCACCAGCACAGUAGGAUUUGUCAGAGGCUUCAAGCUGCAGGCAUGCAACUGUGAAAUAAAAGUAAUCAUCUUUAAAUUUCUGUUGCUAAUGGCAAUCUGUGUCGGCUAGGUGGGGGAUUUUUGUAAGAGGCAAGAUGUUGUGGAGCCACAAUUGUCAACCAGCAUGAAUAAUCUUAUCGCAGUGGAACUUUGUUUGCGAAACUACAAUCCACUUGCUGUUUUGCCAUCCACAUCAUUUCAUGUUUUGUAUCGGUGCAGUUGAUAAUGAGCUUGACGUGCUCUAAAUCAAUUCAAUUAAGUUGAGUUUUGAAGACCAUGUCAAUGCCUAUCUUUACAUGUUUUUUACCGGAGUAG
RNAcentral lists this long non-coding RNA (2370 nucleotides) under Oryza brachyantha (malo sina). Its description in RNAcentral is "long non-coding RNA (OBRA_LNC000849)". The record is from RNAcentral. Lineage: Eukaryota; Viridiplantae; Streptophyta; Magnoliopsida; Poales; Poaceae.